GUCUCCGUAGCUCAAUGGGAUAGAGCAACAGGUUUCUAACCUGUUGGUUACUGGUUCGAAUCCAGUCGGAGACA
Molecule: transfer RNA, 74 nt
Filed under: Parcubacteria group bacterium SW_4_49_11
Lineage: Bacteria
Description: tRNA-Arg
Rfam family: tRNA
About the family: Transfer RNA (tRNA) molecules are approximately 80 nucleotides in length. Their secondary structure includes four short double-helical elements and three loops (D, anti-codon, and T loops).
Source: RNAcentral